This 17043-nucleotide long non-coding RNA is filed under the name Ananas comosus (pineapple). RNAcentral's name for it is "long non-coding RNA (ACOM_LNC034951)". Lineage: Eukaryota; Viridiplantae; Streptophyta; Magnoliopsida; Poales; Bromeliaceae. The record is from RNAcentral.
GUGGGUUAUGCUUACCGAAGCGAUUAGGUCGCUUCCCAUGUCAAAGUAAAGUAUGGUCUCAUUUGAUGCAUAUAUGAAUAUAGUUGUCGAUAUAUGAAUAUAAAUGCUUGAUGCGUAUGAAUGAAUAGGCAUAUAUGGUGGUUGACAUAUUAUGAUUGUUGACAUAUGAUAGUUAUCAGAUAAGUAUGAAUGCUACAUGCAUAUGAAUAUGAAUGCUAGAUGCAUAUGAAUGUAUUAUAGUUCAAACUAUAUGAACGUCGAUAAUUCUAGUUGAUAAAGGAACUUCGAUGUUGAUAAGUAAUUGAAAAUAUGUAAACUAUGAACCUAGGCAAGAGUACCUAGGAUGAUAUAUAGAUCGAGUGGCAUGGCCUAGUGUCAGUAAACAUAGGUCUGACAUGAACCUAGUGUCAUUGGACAUAGGUCGAGUAAUUAAACCUAGAGUCGAGUUCUAGGUGAAAAUGAUAUAAAACCUAGCAAAUGAACCUAGGUUAUGAUAUAUAGUAAGACUUAGUACAUUUGAACUAAGUUGUGAAUAUUAGUGGUAUAGUGACCACUAGGAAAGGAUUGGUAUCGACCUAGGAGGGUCGUCAACAUAGGGUAAAGUGAGUAAACCCUCAAAUUGUGGAAAUGGAUUCCGGAAUCCCAAGAUCUAUUAUAACCUUGGUAUCAAGGCUAGGGCGUGUGCGACGAUUUCGCCGCCGAGAUUGAUACCAAGGCAGGAUUGGGUGUGUGCGCAGUGUCCACCACCCGGAGGCUUGAACCAUUGUUCGGCGUGUGCGACGAUUUCGCCGCCAGAUGGUUAAGCUAGCUUGUGGAUCCUACCGCCUGUUGACUGAACCACUGUCGUGGCGUGUGCGACGAUUUCGCCGCCGGGUGGCUAAGUCAUUGACCUAGGCUGUUGUUGGGUGAGGUGCGACUCGUUCGCCGCCAGACAGCUAGGACAGGAGUACGGUGAGCUGUCGCCAGCUGAGGUGCAUGUGAGAGUUCCUUCACCUCGAGCUAGACAGUGCGCGGACUAUCCGCAAUUGAUUGACUCAAAACCGAGUCGGGUGGCAUAGUGAGAUUAAGGUAAGAGCAACCUUAAGAAAGAAUUUGCCAAUGAAUAUAGUGGGGCCAAGUUUAAGGUGUAGAACACCAAGUACAAGUACAAAGAAUAAAGAGCAAAACAUGAACGAUAAUGAAAUUAGCUAAUGAACGAGAAUAGCUAAGAAAUAAAAGAACGGCUAUAAGUAAAGAAUGGUUAAAGAUAUAAAGUAGAAUCAAGUAAUCUACUUACAUGAUUGACAGGUUUUGCAUAUUGCAUAGCAGCGAGGCAAGGUAUGGUUUUAUUUAUUGCUUAGUCAAAUAUCUAUCUAUCUAUCUAUUUGUUGAACUAACCUACUGUUGCCUCCUUUGGACCUGGUGGGUCGAGCUCUUCCCUUGGGUGGCCGUACCCACUGGGAACUAUAUUUAUAUAGUUCUCACCCCCGUGUUGUUUUGGGGGUACAGGUUGCACGCGAGCGGCGCGGCGGCGCGAGGACAGGGCGUAGCUCCGUAGAUAGCGCCCCACCACUGAGACCGAGAUAGCAAUACCCUGAUGUGAUCGAGCUCAUAGAGUAUAAGAUGAAGAAACAAAUUUGUAGUAAAUUGUAUAAGUUUUGUAAUAACUUAAAGGUAUUUGUAAUAGUGUAAAUGUAAAAUUCUGAGAUGAAUGCUUGUAAUAGCAUAGCUCGCAUUUUUGUUUUUGAUACUAUGCAAUCUGUGGUUGAAUACAGUUCCUGUUUGGAACCUCUUGUAUCGCAUUGUAUAGAUUGUGACGCCUAGAACGUACAGGGGAGGUUCUGUCCGUUCGGCGGUCUGUCGGCGUGCCCGAAUCCGACCAAAUAGGCGGAGCUCGGGGCGUGACAGAUUAAAUGGUAUCAGAGCAUGAAAAGAGCAAUAGAAACGGUUUAAGCGGACCUAGGAGACCUAGGAUAGUAAACCGUAAGGACUUAUGUUCGUGAGAGACGAGGACUUGUGACGUGUGGCGAAAGGUAAAUCGAUUGGGUCAAGUUUAGUAAACCUCUAAGACGGAUAUUAGAGGUAGAUUCAAGGUUCAGUUUAUUCUCAGCCAAGUGAGUUCAUGUUGGGUCGACACAACAUGAAACCGAGGGAUGGGAAUAAGCUUCCUUGCAUGACUUUCGCCCGAUUUGAGUUUGUGUUAAUUAUUUCGUAUUCGACCCAGAGGGUCGAGGACUAACCGAGUUGUCGUGUCAUGUUUCAGGAAGCGAUGGCACCGCGUAGGCGAUCUUCGUCUAGAUUGGCGCGAGAUGGGACAGAUGGUGUCCCUGAGCAGACUGAGGCGAGCGGAGACUUGGAGCUUCGCGAUCAGUUGGCCACACUCGUGGGAGUGGUGAGGCAACAAGCGGAUGUAGUGCAACGUCAGCAGGAAACUGCUCUGCGACAAGAAGAGCGAAUAAAGAGACUUCAGGAAACAGUGGAUCAGUUAGUGACCGCACCAGUUUCGGCCUGUCGAGUACAGCCGGGAGUUGCGGCAGCGGCAUUUCCGUCGAGGUCGGGUGAUCCAACUGCUAUUGAUUCAGGGCCGGAAGCGGAAAGAGAGCGAGCUUUAGCGGCUCUCAUGUCCUUCAAGAAGUUUGAUCCACCUGCGUUUGAUGGAGAGGACAUAGAUCCAUGGACUGUGGAGUCAUGGAUUGAUUCCAUAGAGACUAUCUUCGAGGAUUUGUACACGGUGGAGCGGGACAAGGUACACCUAGCCGUGCAUUGUCUACAAUUGUCGGCGAAGGAAUGGUGGAAAGGCGUUAAACGGAACCGAUCGCCUAGUCUUCCUUCUAUGGUUUGGGAAGAGUUUCGGGAAUUAAUGCGUUCAACUUAUUUCCCCGAUAGUGAAAAGAGAAAGCUUCAGAACAGGUUUCAGAAACUACGACAGGGAGACCGCCUUGUGAGGGAAUACGAGCGGGAAUUCUCUCGUAUCGUGAACUAUGUUCCAAGUGUGGUACGGGACGACAAGGAUCGAGCUGAUUGUUUUGUACGACUUCGGCCUGAUAUUUUUGAAGCAGUGCAUAAUCUAAAGUUGCAGACUUUUGCUGAAGUCUUGGAUCGGGCCUUAUGGAUAGAACAAGGCAAUGCAUCGGUGCAGGAGGAGCGCGAAUCUUAUUACAAGGAAAAAGAAAAAGAACGACCAGCGAGUGGGUAUGAUGGUCAGUCAAGUUCUCAGCGGACCACUGGGAGUUCGCGUUCGCGAUCCCGAGCUCCGGGGACGUAUCGUAGUCGGACCUCGGCAUGUUGUGUUAUUUGUGGGGGUCCUCACUACCCACAGCAGUGUGAGCAACAAGAUGGCAAGUGCUUCAGGUGUGGACGGCCAGGUCAUGCGCGGGACGAGUGUCCACGGGGUGCUAGCCAAGCCUUGAUGCUGGCGACGGCAUUCUCCUCUCCGGGACAACUUGUAGAUGUGCCACCUGUGGCACGGUCUGGAGAGCGAAUGAGGAUAAGGCAACCGAGGGGUUCGCGACGAACGACAAGUGGCCGUGGAUAGGUGUUCCAUGUGGAGGAACCUGCUACGACUGUUGGCAUUGUGACAGGUACGAGUUAAUCAAAGCAAGCAUGUAUUUCAAUAUGAUAUAAAUUGGUGCAUUGCAUGCUUUCUUUAUGUAUUCUAUUACUACUAUUUGUGCAUGAGGAUAGUAGUGAUUGAUUAUAGAGACCCGAACAUGCUUGUGGUGGAUGUGUAGUACCUGCUAUUGCAGAUAGGAGGCCAAAUGGCACUAGCAAAUUGCUGGUAAGAGCCUGUGAAUAAGACGUAAGACUCGUAGUAGAAAUGGUAGUAGCUGACCAACUCUCAAAUUAAUGCGAGUUGCUGAUUGCGAGAGUCUAGUCGCGGUGUUCGUGGAACUCGUGUAAGACCGAGCAUUUUGCAGGUUGUUCUAGUAGAUCGAACAGUGAAAGUGGAGUCACUGUUGCGUCUGGUACGUGCACGUGGACCUAACAAUACCUCGAAUUGAGGUCAAUGGGUCGUGCUCGUGUAGUUGAGUGCAUAGGCAAGAGUUGCCUGAUGCUAGACUUAAUAUAGCACGCGAUAGAGUCGUGUAGAGCGCUCUAGUGUUGGUGCUCGUAGAGUACAGAUUUGUUUCAGCCGUGAGUGCGUUGGCAGUAGCACUUUAGCAUUGCUAAGUGUGAAGCGUGCCAGAGGUCACUCGUAGGGCUGGUGGCUCGCACUAGGUGCGUAGGAGCCGAUAGUGGUAUGUGUGCGCGAUAGAGAGUGUCGUGUGAGACGACGUUUGCGGGUAGUGCUUGGGGACGAUCCGUGCCUGGACCACUUGUGGACUGUGGAGCCUGGGCCCAUUGGGCAGGCACAGUCGGCUGUGAGAGGCAGCGGCCCGGUACCUACGGGUAGGGCAGCGAGUUUUGGUCAGGACGGUAGUUCCAGCAUAGACCCGAGUACGUGGAAUGCCACGUGUUGGAUCGUGAAAUCGGUGAUGCACUAAGAGUGCGGUUGUGACCCAACCCGAGGACUUGGCGUGGUUUGGGGUCUCGGUUGCUCCCAGUUGGAGUAGGUAUAAGGUAUCUCAAAUGAGAACUUUGCUUCGUGAUAAUUGGGUUUACGCUUGCGAGCGAGAGGCAUUAUGUCGUGUCACGGUUGAGUUAGGCAAUCGGCCUAUAGCGGAUCGGUAACUUAUGAACCGAAUUGUGGUAUUGGUUUACUCGUUCAUACUGAAAGCGAGCGUAGUGGACCCAUUCCAGUGGCUUGUGAGUAGGGCCGUGAAAGCGAAGGCUUAGUCCUAUGGAUGAAUUAAUCAGACUUGCUACGAUAAGCAUCGAUAACGAGCUGAGAAUGGAAACGCGAACAAAGUGUUCGUAGAGACUGAUGUGGAGAAAUCAGUAUAGUAUAAAAUGAAAUUGAGAAACUGUAGAAUAGUAUUGGAAUUUAUCUCCAUCCGUUAAGUAAUGAGGAAUAAAAUGUAUCUAAGUUUCGCGGACGAAACUUUUGUUAACGGGAGGAGAAUGUAACAUAUGGAAAUUUGGAGUUGCGAUGUCAACUUUGAUCUCGGGGAUCAAAGUGAGGAUUGAGCUAGUUGGACAUCAUCCUCGAGUGAUUCGUGAUGCGUUGGAAUGAAUUUCGGAGAUAAAUAAGUGUUUCGGCGCAAAUUGGGCGCGAAACGAAAUGUAAAAAGAAUUUUCGGAUUUCCGACGCUAACUUUGAUUAAAAGAAUUAAAGUAAGGCGUGAGGAUAAAUUGUGGUAUCUCCGAAUCAAUUGUGAAGUUUUGGAAAAGCCAAGGGUGUGCUUUCAAAGGGUUUUGAAGUGUUCAGUGCGAAGUGGUAGUGCAAAAAGGAGAAAUUUCUGCCGUAUAAUGAAAUUGGAGCUGAUUCUAUUGCUAAUUCGGCUCCAAUAAUGUCAAAAUGCAAAGGAAUUGCUUCCAAAUUGGAUUGGUAGCUUGUGAAGGUCCCUUGGUAUCUUUUGGACAUGUUUGGGUGAAAUUGGAGUGAAAACGGAAACUUUAGAAUUUUCUGUAAAGAACGGGACUGAGAAAAAUUAGCGGAAAAUGCACAGUGUCAGAAAAUUAUGAAAAUUGGCAGAGAUGUCAGGAACAUUUUUAUGAGGCUAGAUUUGAAGUUUCAGAUUAUUCUGACACCUAUAGAGAGAGAAAUAGCAUCCGAAAGUUAUCUGAUGAAGAUUACAGUUCGGGACAGUUCGCAGUGACCAAACGGGGUCGAAACUGAAAUGUUAAAAUUUCAGUGGACUUGUUAAGGAAAACCGAGUAUGCCUGUCGAAUUUGAGCUCAAUUGGACUGUCGGAAGGGCUCCAAUUAAAUGUAUCAGACUAGAAUUGGAUUGAAGUGAUAAGAUCGAUGACUUAUGGACCUAAAGGCAAUUGUUACAUGCUUAGUGGAUUUCCACUAACCGGCCAGGGGAAUCUCCUCCAUGCUUAUCCUCCUUUUCAUCCUCCUGUACGUAGAGAGAGAAGGAGAAAAGAAGUGAAAAGGGGAAAAAGAGAGAAGUAAUGGAUUUGGUGCCGUUUGACGAGCCGAUCGAAACGCCGCGCACCUAAUUUUUAGUGCUUCGACACUCGGGUUAGUAUUAUAAUAUUAUAAUCUCAAAUCAGAUUUUUUUUGAUGGAUUCUUGAUAGUAGAUGUUAAGAAAAGGUGUUUUGGAUGGAUUUAUUAGUUGAUAUAGCUUGGUUUUGCCAUAGAGAACUUAGGAAAAACCUAUAUAGGUAUCAUGUGUGCUUGUUGUGAGAAAGCUUAAGAACAUGAAAUGAGAAUCUGUUGGAAAGUAAUUUGUUGGAAGGAAACCUGAAGUAGAGUUAGUAUAUUUCUUUGAUAAGGUUUGUUUUUUUUAUUACCUUAAAUAAGGUCUAUUUUGGAUGUUCUUUGAUUGCUACAGUUUGUAGCUUCUAUAAAGCUUAGAGAAGCAUGCUGGUAGUAGGAGUGAACUUAGGCUUUCUAGGUUACUAAAAGCUGUUUGCUAUAAAUCCUAGGGAAUAGGCCUAUAUAGGUAUCAUGUAAAUGAACCUAGCUGUUGAGAAAAAUGAAGAGUAAAUUAUAAUUCCUGAUUAAAGCUUGAUUGUAUACCUUAAAGAAAUGAAUUUGUAGUAGAAUUCAGGAAUUCUGAAACUUUAAGAAUGAGAGGUAACAGAAGUUGAUCUCUAAUGUUCCUAAAUUAUUUAACAUUGGUAUUGAAGCCUAGGUUUCUAUAUAGGUUCUUAUAGAACCUAUAUAGAAACAGGUUGUAUUAAGCUAAUGUUUGGGUAGUAUUUAGAGCUCUAAACUCAAAAAUGCUAACUUGUAGGAUUGAGGCCCCAGCUUGAAAUUAAUCGCGUGGAAACCUAAUUGAGGGUAAAACAAACGCGUUGGCGAAGUCGGUUCGGCAAUCCGUCGCUCCUACGCGAAGAUAUCGCCAAAAGAAGAUUUUCGGCGACAAGUGUCGGGAGCGCGGGUCGCGAUUCGUGGAAAAGUGCGAGAAGUGGAUUUCUCUCAUUCCAGUACCAAAUAAAGGUGGGUUAUGCUUACCGAAGCGAUUAGGUCGCUUCCCAUGUCAAAGUAAAGUAUGGUCUCAUUUGAUGCAUAUAUGAAUAUAGUUGUCGAUAUAUGAAUAUAAAUGCUUGAUGCGUAUGAAUGAAUAGGCAUAAAUGGUGGUUGACAUAUUAUGAUUGUUGACAUACGAUAGUUAUCAGAUAAGUAUGAAUGCUACAUGCAUAUGAAUAUGAAUGCUAGAUGCAUAUGAAUGUAUUAUAGUUCAAACUAUAUGAACGUCGAUAAUUCUAAUUGAUAAAGGAACUUCGAUGUUGAUAAGUAAUUGAGAAUAUGUAAACUAUGAACCUAGGCAAGAGUACCUAGGAUGAUAUAUAGAUCGAGUGGCACGGCCUAGUGUCAGUAAACAUAGGUCUGACAUGAACCUAGUGUCAUUGGACAUAGGUCGAGUAAUUAAACCUAGAGUCGAGUUCUAGGUGAAAAUGAUAUAAAACCUAGCAAAUGAACCUAGGUUAUGAUAUAUAGUAAGACUUAGUACAUUUGAACUAAGUUGUGAAUAUUAGUGGUAUAGUGACCACUAGGAAAGGAUUGGUAUCGACCUAGGAGGGUCGUCAACAUAGGGUAAAGUGAGUAAACCCUCAAGUUGUGGAAAUGGAUUCCGGAAUCCCAAGAUCUAUUAUAACCUUGGUAUCAAGGCUAGGGCGUGUGCGACGAUUUCGCCGCCGAGAUUGAUACCAAGGCAGGAUUGGGUGUGUGCGCAGUGUCCACCACCCGGAGGCUUGAACCAUUGUUCGGCGUGUGCGACGAUUUCGCCGCCAGAUGGUUAAGCCAGCUUGUGGAUCCUACCGCCUGUUGACUGAACCACUGUCGUGGCGUGUGCGACGAUUUCGCCGCCGGGUGGCUAAGUCAUUGACCUAGGCUGUUGUUGGGUGAGGUGCGACUCGUUCGCCGCCAGACAGCUAGGACAGGAGUACGGUGAGCUGUCGCCAGCGGAGGUGCAUGUGAAGUUCCUUCACCUCGAGCUAGACAGUGCGCGGACUAUCCGCAAUUGAUUGACUCAAAACCGAGUCGGGUGGCAUAGUGAGAUUAAGGUAAGAGCAACCUUAAGAAAGAAUUUGCCAAUGAAUAUAGUGGGGCCAAGUUUAAGGUGUAGAACACCAAGUACAAGUACAAAGAAUAAAGAGCAAAACAUGAACGAUAAUGAAAUUAGCUAAUGAACGAGAAUAGCUAAGAAAUAAAAGAACGGCUAUAAGUAAAGAAUGGUUAAAGAUAUAAAGUAGAAUCAAGUAAUCUACUUACAUGAUUGACAGGUUUUGCAUAUUGCAUAGCAGCGAGGCAAGGUAUGGUUUUAUUUAUUGCUUAGUCAAAUAUCUAUCUAUCUAUCUAUUUGUUGAACUAACCUACUGUUGCCUCCUUUGGACCUGGUGGGUCGAGCUCUUCCCUUGGGUGGCCGUACCCACUGGGAACUAUAUUUAUAUAGUUCUCACCCCCGUGUUGUUUUGGGGGUACAGGUUGCACGCGAGCGGCGCGGCGGCGCGAGGAGAGGACAGGGCGUAGCUCCGUAGAUAGCGCCCCACCACUGAGACCGAGAUAGCAAUACCCUGAUGUGAUCGAGCUCAUAGAGUAUAAGAUGAAGAAACAAAUUUGUAGUAAAUUGUAUAAGUUUUGUAAUAACUUAAAGGUAUUUGUAAUAGUGUAAAUGUAAAAUUCUGAGAUGAAUGCUUGUAAUAGCAUAGCUCGCAUUUUUGUUUUUGAUACUAUGCAAUCUGUGGUUGAAUACAGUUCCUGUUUGGAACCUCUUGUAUCGCAUUGUAUAGAUUGUGACGCCUAGAACGUACAGGGGAGGUUCUGUCCGUUCGGCGGUCUGUCGGCGUGCCCGAAUCCGACCAAAUAGGCGGAGCUCGGGGCGUGACAGAUUAAAUGGUAUCAGAGCAUGAAAAGAGCAAUAGAAACGGUUUAAGCGGACCUAGGAGACCUAGGAUAGUAAACCGUAAGGACUUAUGUUCGUGAGAGACGAGGACUUGUGACGUGUGGCGAAAGGUAAAUCGAUUGGGUCAAGUUUAGUAAACCUCUAAGACGGAUAUUAGAGGUAGAUUCAAGGUUCAGUUUAUUCUCAGCCAAGUGAGUUCAUGUUGGGUCGACACAACAUGAAACCGAGGGAUGGGAAUAAGCUUCCUUGCAUGACUUUCGCCCGAUUUGAGUUUGUGUUAAUUAUUUCGUAUUCGACCCAGAGGGUCGAGGACUAACCGAGUUGUCGUGUCAUGUUUCAGGAAGCGAUGGCACCGCGUAGGCGAUCUUCGUCUAGAUUGGCGCGAGAUGGGACAGAUGGUGUCCCUGAGCAGACUGAGGCGAGCGGAGACUUGGAGCUUCGCGAUCAGUUGGCCACACUCGUGGGAGUGGUGAGGCAACAAGCGGAUGUAGUGCAACGUCAGCAGGAAACUGCUCUGCGACAAGAAGAGCGAAUAAAGAGACUUCAGGAAACAGUGGAUCAGUUAGUGACCGCACCAGUUUCGGCCUGUCGAGUACAGCCGGGAGUUGCGGCAGCGGCAUUUCCGUCGAGGUCGGGUGAUCCAACUGCUAUUGAUUCAGGGCCGGAAGCGGAAAGAGAGCGAGCUUUAGCGGCUCUCAUGUCCUUCAAGAAGUUUGAUCCAUGCGUUUGAUGGAGAGGACAUAGAUCCAUGGACUGUGGAGUCAUGGAUUGAUUCCAUAGAGACUAUCUUCGAGGAUUUGUACACGGUGGAGCGGGACAAGGUACACCUAGCCGUGCAUUGUCUACAAUUGUCGGCGAAGGAAUGGUGGAAAGGCGUUAAACGGAACCGAUCGCCUAGUCUUCCUUCUAUGGUUUGGGAAGAGUUUCGGGAAUUAAUGCGUUCAACUUAUUUCCCCGAUAGUGAAAAGAGAAAGCUUCAGAACAGGUUUCAGAAACUACGACAGGGAGACCGCCUUGUGAGGGAAUACGAGCGGGAAUUCUCUCGUAUCGUGAACUAUGUUCCAAGUGUGGUACGGGACGACAAGGAUCGAGCUGAUUGUUUUGUACGACUUCGGCCUGAUAUUUUUGAAGCAGUGCAUAAUCUAAAGUUGCAGACUUUUGCUGAAGUCUUGGAUCGGGCCUUAUGGAUAGAACAAGGCAAUGCAUCGGUGCAGGAGGAGCGCGAAUCUUAUUACAAGGAAAAAGAAAAAGAACGACCAGCGAGUGGGUAUGAUGGUCAGUCAAGUUCUCAGCGGACCACUGGGAGUUCGCGUUCGCGAUCCCGAGCUCCGGGGACGUAUCGUAGUCGGACCUCGGCAUGUUGUGUUAUUUGUGGGGGUCCUCACUACCCACAGCAGUGUGAGCAACAAGAUGGCAAGUGCUUCAGGUGUGGACGGCCAGGUCAUGCGCGGGACGAGUGUCCACGGGGUGCUAGCCAAGCCUUGAUGCUGGCGACGGCAUUCUCCUCUCCGGGACAACUUGUAGAUGUGCCACCUGUGGCACGGUCUGGAGAGCGAAUGAGGAUAAGGCAACCGAGGGGUUCGCGACGAACGACAAGUGGCCGUGGAUAGGUGUUCCAUGUGGAGGAACCUGCUACGACUGUUGGCAUUGUGACAGGUACGAGUUAAUCAAAGCAAGCAUGUAUUUCAAUAUGAUAUAAAUUGGUGCAUUGCAUGCUUUCUUUAUGUAUUCUAUUACUACUAUUUGUGCAUGAGGAUAGUAGUGAUUGAUUAUAGAGACCCGAACAUGCUUGUGGUGGAUGUGUAGUACCUGCUAUUGCAGAUAGGAGGCCAAAUGGCACUAGCAAAUUGCUGGUAAGAGCCUGUGAAUAAGACGUAAGACUCGUAGUAGAAAUGGUAGUAGCUGACCAACUCUCAAAUUAAUGCGAGUUGCUGAUUGCGAGAGUCUAGUCGCGGUGUUCGUGGAACUCGUGUAAGACCGAGCAUUUUGCAGGUUGUUCUAGUAGAUCGAACAGUGAAAGUGGAGUCACUGUUGCGUCUGGUACGUGCACGUGGACCUAACAAUACCUCGAAUUGAGGUCAAUGGGUCGUGCUCGUGUAGUUGAGUGCAUAGGCAAGAGUUGCCUGAUGCUAGACUUAAUAUAGCACGCGAUAGAGUCGUGUAGAGCGCUCUAGUGUUGGUGCUCGUAGAGUACAGAUUUGUUUCAGCCGUGAGUGCGUUGGCAGUAGCACUUUAGCAUUGCUAAGUGUGAAGCGUGCCAGAGGUCACUCGUAGGGCUGGUGGCUCGCACUAGGUGCGUAGGAGCCGAUAGUGGUAUGUGUGCGCGAUAGAGAGUGUCGUGUGAGACGACGUUUGCGGGUAGUGCUUGGGGACGAUCCGUGCCUGGACCACUUGUGGACUGUGGAGCCUGGGCCCAUUGGGCAGGCACAGUCGGCUGUGAGAGGCAGCGGCCCGGUACCUACGGGUAGGGCAGCGAGUUUUGGUCAGGACGGUAGUUCCAGCAUAGACCCGAGUACGUGGAAUGCCACGUGUUGGAUCGUGAAAUCGGUGAUGCACUAAGAGUGCGGUUGUGACCCAACCCGAGGACUUGGCGUGGUUUGGGGUCUCGGUUGCUCCCAGUUGGAGUAGGUAUAAGGUAUCUCAAAUGAGAACUUUGCUUCGUGAUAAUUGGGUUUACGCUUGCGAGCGAGAGGCAUUAUGUCGUGUCACGGUUGAGUUAGGCAAUCGGCCUAUAGCGGAUCGGUAACUUAUGAACCGAAUUGUGGUAUUGGUUUACUCGUUCAUACUGAAAGCGAGCGUAGUGGACCCAUUCCAGUGGCUUGUGAGUAGGGCCGUGAAAGCGAAGGCUUAGUCCUAUGGAUGAAUUAAUCAGACUUGCUACGAUAAGCAUCGAUAACGAGCUGAGAAUGGAAACGCGAACAAAGUGUUCGUAGAGACUGAUGUGGAGAAAUCAGUAUAGUAUAAAAUGAAAUUGAGAAACUGUAGAAUAGUAUUGGAAUUUAUCUCCAUCCGUUAAGUAAUGAGGAAUAAAAUGUAUCUAAGUUUCGCGGACGAAACUUUUGUUAACGGGAGGAGAAUGUAACAUAUGGAAAUUUGGAGUUGCGAUGUCAACUUUGAUCUCGGGGAUCAAAGUGAGGAUUGAGCUAGUUGGACAUCAUCCUCGAGUGAUUCGUGAUGCGUUGGAAUGAAUUUCGGAGAUAAAUAAGUGUUUCGGCGCAAAUUGGGCGCGAAACGAAAUGUAAAAAGAAAGAGAAUUUUCGGAUUUCCGACGCUAACUUUGAUUAAAAGAAUUAAAGUAAGGCGUGAGGAUAAAUUGUGGUAUCUCCGAAUCAAUUGUGAAGUUUUGGUAAAGCCAAGGGUGUGUUUUCACAGGGUUUUGAAGAGCUCAGUGCGAAGUGGUAGUGCAAAAAGGCCAUGUAAUGGAAUUGGAGCCGAUUCUAUUUCUAAUUCGGCUCAAAUAAUGUCAAAAUGAAAACGAAUUGCUUCCAAAUUGGAUUGGUAGCUUGUGAAGGUCCCUUGGUAUCUUUUGGACAUGUUUGGGUGAAAUCGGAGUGAAAACGGAAACUUUAGAAUUUUCUGUAAAGAACGGGACUGAGAAAAUUAGCGGAAAAUGCACAGUGUCAGAAAAUUAUGAAAAUUGGCAGAGAUGUCAGGAACAUUUUUAUGAGGCUAGAUUUGAAGUUUCAGAUUAUUCUGACACCUAUAGAGAGAGAAAUAGCAUCCGAAAGUUAUCUGAUGAAGAUUAUAGUUCGGGACAGUUCGCAGUGACCAAACGGGGUCGAAACUGAAAUGUUAAAAUUUCAGUGGACUUGUAAAGGAAAACCGAGUAUGCCUGUCGAAUUUGAGCUCAAUUGGACUGUCGGAAGGGCUCCAAUUAAAUGUAUCAGACUAGAAUUGGAUUGAAGUGAUAAGAUCGAUGACUUAUGGACCUAAAGGCAAUUGUUACAUGCUUAGUGGAUUUCCACUAACCGGCCAGGGGAAUCUCCUCCAUGCUUAUCCUCCUUUUCAUCCUCCUGUACGUAGAGAGAGAAGGAGAAAAGAAGUGAAAAGGGGAAAAAGAGAGAAGUAAUGGAUUUGGUGCCGUUUGACGAGCCGAUCGAAACGCCGCGCACCUAAUUUUUAGUGCUUCGACACUCGGGUUAGUAUUAUAAUAUUAUAAUCUCAAAUCAGAUUUUUUUUGAUGGAUUCUUGAUAGUAGAUGUUAAGAAAAGGUGUUUUGGAUGGAUUUAUUAGUUGAUAUAGCUUGGUUUUGCCAUAGAGAACUUAGGAAAAACCUAUAUAGGUAUCAUGUGUGCUUGUUGUGAGAAAGCUUAAGAACAUGAAAUGAGAAUCUGUUGGAAAGUAAUUUGUUGGAAGGAAACCUGAAGUAGAGUUAGUAUAUUUCUUUGAUAAGGUUUGUUUUUUUAUUACCUUAAAUAAGGUCUAUUUUGGAUGUUCUUUGAUUGCUACAGUUUGUAGCUUCUAUAAAGCUUAGAGAAGCAUGCUGGUAGUAGGAGUGAACUUAGGCUUUCUAGGUUACUAAAAGCUGUUUGCUAUAAAUCCUAGGGAAUAGGCCUAUAGGUAUCAUGUAAAUGAACCUAGCUGUUGAGAAAAAUGAAGAGUAAGUUAUAAUUCCUGAUUAAAGCUUGAUAUGUAUACCUUAAAGAAAUGAAUUUGUAGUAGAAUUCAGGAAUUCUGAAACUUUAAGAAUGAGAGGUAACAGAAGUUGAUCUCUAAUGUUCCUAAAUUAUUUAACAUUGGUAUUGAAGCCUAGGUUUCUAUAUAGGUUCUUAUAGAACCUAUAUAGAAACAGGUUGUAUUAAGCUAAUGUUUGGGUAGUAUUUAGAGCUCUAAACUUAAAAAUGCUAACUUGUAGGAUUGAGGCCCCAGCUUGAAAUUAAUCGCGUGGAAACCUAAUUGAGGGUAAAACAAACGCGUUGGCGAAGUCGGUUCGGCAAUCCGUCGAGCCUACGUGAAGAUAUUGCCAAAAGAACAUUCUCGGCGACAAGUGUCGGGAGCGCGGGUCGCGAUUCGUGGAAAAGUGCGAGAAGUGGAUUUCUCUCAUUCCAGUACCAAAUAAAGGUGGGUUAUGCUUACCGAAGCGAUUAGGUCGCUUCCCAUGUCAAAGUAAAGUAUGGUCUCAUUUGAUGCAUAUAUGAAUAUAGUUGUCGAUAUAUGAAUAUAAAUGCUUGAUGCGUAUGAAUGAAUAGGCAUAUAUGGUGGUUGACAUAUUAUGAUUGUUGACAUAUGAUAGUUAUCAGAUAAGUAUGAAUGCUACAUGCAUAUGAAUAUGAAUGCUAGAUGCAUAUGAAUGUAUUAUAGUUCAAACUAUAUGAACGUCGAUAAUUCUAGUUGAUAAAGGAACUUCGAUGUUGAUAAGUAAUUGAAAAUAUGUAAACUAUGAACCUAGGCAAGAGUACCUAGGAUGAUAUAUAGAUCGAGUGGCAUGGCCUAGUGUCAGUAAACAUAGGUCUGACAUGAACCUAGUGUCAUUGGACAUAGGUCGAGUAAUUAAACCUAGAGUCGAGUUCUAGGUGAAAAUGAUAUAAAACCUAGCAAAUGAACCUAGGUUAUGAUAUAUAGUAAGACUUAGUACAUUUGAACUAAGUUGUGAAUAUUAGUGGUAUAGUGACCACUAGGAAAGGAUUGGUAUCGACCUAGGAGGGUCGUCAACAUAGGGUAAAGUGAGUAAACCCUCAAAUUGUGGAAAUGGAUUCCGGAAUCCCAAGAUCUAUUAUAACCUUGGUAUCAAGGCUAGGGCGUGUGCGACGAUUUCGCCGCCGAGAUUGAUACCAAGGCAGGAUUGGGUGUGUGCGCAGUGUCCACCACCCGGAGGCUUGAACCAUUGUUCGGCGUGUGCGACGAUUUCGCCGCCAGAUGGUUAAGCUAGCUUGUGGAUCCUACCGCCUGUUGACUGAACCACUGUCGUGGCGUGUGCGACGAUUUCGCCGCCGGGUGGCUAAGUCAUUGACCUAGGCUGUUGUUGGGUGAGGUGCGACUCGUUCGCCGCCAGACAGCUAGGACAGGAGUACGGUGAGCUGUCGCCAGCUGAGGUGCAUGUGAGAGUUCCUUCACCUCGAGCUAGACAGUGCGCGGACUAUCCGCAAUUGAUUGACUCAAAACCGAGUCGGGUGGCAUAGUGAGAUUAAGGUAAGAGCAACCUUAAGAAAGAAUUUGCCAAUGAAUAUAGUGGGGCCAAGUUUAAGGUGUAGAACACCAAGUACAACUACAAAGAAUAAAGAGCAAAACAUGAACGAUAAUGAAAUUAGCUAAUGAACGAGAAUAGCUAAGAAAUAAAAGAACGGCUAUAAGUAAAGAAUGGUUAAAGAUAUAAAGUAGAAUCAAGUAAUCUACUUACAUGAUUGACAGGUUUUGCAUAUUGCAUAGCAGCGAGGCAAGGUAUGGUUUUAUUUAUUGCUUAGUCAAAUAUCUAUCUAUCUAUCUAUUUGUUGAACUAACCUACUGUUGCCUCCUUUGGACCUGGUGGGUCGAGCUCUUCCCUUGGGUGGCCGUACCCACUGGGAACUAUAUUUAUAUAGUUCUCACCCCCGUGUUGUUUUGGGGGUACAGGUUGCACGCGAGCGGCGCGGCGGCGCGAGGACAGGGCGUAGCUCCGUAGAUAGCGCCCCACCACUGAGACCGAGAUAGCAAUACCCUGAUGUGAUCGAGCUCAUAGAGUAUAAGAUGAAGAAACAAAUUUGUAGUAAAUUGUAUAAGUUUUGUAAUAACUUAAAGGUAUUUGUAAUAGUGUAAAUGUAAAAUUCUGAGAUGAAUGCUUGUAAUAGCAUAGCUCGCAUUUUUGUUUUUGAUACUAUGCAAUCUGUGGUUGAAUACAGUUCCUGUUUGGAACCUCUUGUAUCGCAUUGUAUAGAUUGUGACGCCUAGAACGUACAGGGGAGGUUCUGUCCGUUCGGCGGUCUGUCGGCGUGCCCGAAUCCGACCAAAUAGGCGGAGCUCGGGGCGUGACAGUGGAGCUCCCUUAUAUUCUAUAUGUACUAUAGAAUUGAUACAGUUGUGUGCUUUUGUGGUUGAUAUAGAACUUGAGACGAAUCACUAUAUUAUAGUGUUGAUAUAUAAUUGAAUUGAAACCUCUAUGAAGUAGAGAACAUUCAUGCAUACAAGUUUUUAUGUUCAUGUUCAAUUCAGUUGAAUGAUUAAUGGACAAGUUAUCAUGUUGCUAGAAAGUAGAAAACUAUGACAUUCUUAUGACACUUUCUUGGCUCUAAAAUAGAGAACAAUGACUUGCUUAUAAUGUUUAUAGUGCCAUGAUAGUGACAAGAUUCUUAUGCCAUAUGUAAAUUUAGCAUUACUCUUGCAUGUUUAAUAAUCUAGUGGAUACUAGUUAUUGCCAAUAUUUAUUAUAUUGAAAAUUCCGAUCAAAAAAUCGAGAGCGAGAACAUUGCAAGUUGGAAAGUGAUGAUUGAGACAUAUUGGACUAUGGAUUUGCUUGCUGCCAUUGUGCUCAUUCGCACAUGCUUGUGAGGGUCGCUCCCUACAAACCAGCACUUCGGAGUUGGCCUACGCGACAGUUGCUCGCCCGUGCGGGAUUGGGUGCCGAAGUGGAUUGCCGUGGGGAGUGUACACUACCACGUGGCCAUUAGGCGCGGCGCAAGCUGGACUACCUUGAGUAGGUUCUCGUGAUUGAAAGGAAAUUGGACAGUAAUGAAUGAUUACUUGUUACAGUGUACAGUAGUUACUUACACACUCAUGCUUAUGUUCCUGUUUAUGUUCAUGCUGAUCGUAGAUGCUAUGCUUCUAUUAUUCCGUUGAUUCAUUACUGUCGAGAUUAUGAAUUCAUGUUGCUUACAUGUUUGUUACCUGUUAGCAUUGCAUAUUUACAUGUUUCAUGUAAUUACUGCUGUUACUUACCUUUAGUACAUCAUGAACCUAGUGGUGUAAUUCGCCGAGGCUGGCGGCUUACCCACUGGGAACUAUUGUUUAUAGUUCUCACGCCCUUUUUGUGGUUGUUUUUACAGAGCCAUCUACAGGAGAGGCUAGGGAUCGUGGCAAGGGAGUCGCGUCUAGCUAGACAUUGCUAGGAGCAUGCCAGUCGAUCACCUUGCUACUCGGGCUACGGCCGAGGGUGAUGUCCCUAUGUAUAGAGAGACUACCAUUGUACCUAUUCUUUUUGGAUACUCGUGAUGUAUAUUACUAUUUGGACCAGAUACUAUAGUUGUGACACUAC